Molecule: ribosomal RNA, 326 nt
Filed under: Medetera petrophiloides
Lineage: Eukaryota; Metazoa; Arthropoda; Insecta; Diptera; Dolichopodidae
Description: partial 12S ribosomal RNA
Source: RNAcentral
AAGGAAUUUAAUUUUGUUGUCAGAGUAGUAAUAGUUAGGGUCUUGAAACUCAAAAAAUUUGGCGGUAUUUUAGUCUAUUUAGAGGAACCUGUAAUGUAAUCGAUAAUCCACGUUGGACCUAACUUGGUUUUGUAAUAUUCAAUUUGAAUACCGCCGUUUUUGAAAAUUUUAUUAGAAUAAUAAUUUUCAUAGUUUUUUAUAGGAAAAUAAAUCAGGUCAAGGUGCAGUUAAUAAUUAAGUUUUUUAUGGGUUACAAUAAAUUUAUUUAAGCGGAUUAUAAAAUGAAAAUUUUAUAUGAAGAUGGAUUUAAAAGUAAAUUUUUAAAG